GUAGGUGGCAAGCGUUGUCCGGAAUUAUUGGGCGUAAAGCGCGCGCAGGCGGUCCUUUAAGUCUGAUGUGAAAGCCCACGGCUCAACCGUGGAGGGUCAUUGGAAACUGGGGGACUUGAGUACAGAAGAGGAAAGCGGAAUUCCAAGUGUAGCGGUGAAAUGCGUAGAGAUUUGGAGGAACACCAGUGGCGAAGGCGGCUUUCUGGUCUGUAACUGACGCUGAGGCGCGAAAGCGUGGGGAGCAAACAGGGAUUAGAUACCCUGGUAGUCCACGCCGUAAACGAUGAGUGCUAAGUGCUAGGGGGUUUCCGCCCCCUUAGUGCUGCAGCUAACGCAUUAAGCACUCCGCCUGGGGAGUACGGCCGCAAGGCUG
Molecule: ribosomal RNA, 373 nt
Filed under: uncultured organism
Description: partial 16S ribosomal RNA
Rfam family: Bacterial small subunit ribosomal RNA
Source: RNAcentral